This is a non-coding RNA of Ciona savignyi (Pacific transparent sea squirt), 118 nucleotides long. The record is from Rfam. NCBI's taxonomy places the organism in Eukaryota, Metazoa, Chordata, Ascidiacea, Phlebobranchia, Cionidae.
GUUUAUCCCAUUCCAGAUUGAAUAUACCCGAUCUCGUCUGAUCUGGGAAGUCAAGCAAUCUCGGGCUUGGUUAGUACUUGGAUGGGUGACCGCUUGGGAAUACCAAGUGUGAUAAGCA